ACUCAAAGGAAUUGACGGGGGCCCGCACAAGCGGCGGAGCAUGUUGCUUAAUUCGACGCAACGCGAAGAACCUUACCAAGGCUUGACAUCACCGGAAAUCUGGUGGAGACAUCAGGUCCUUUUUGGGUCGGUGACAGGUGGUGCAUGGCUGUCGUCAGCUCGUGUCGUGAGAUGUUGGGUUAAGUCCCGCAACGAGCGCAACCCUUGUUCCAUGUUGCCAGCACGUAAUGGUGGGGACUCAUGGGAGACCGCCGGGGUCAACUCGGAGGAAGGUGGGGAUGACGUCAAGUCAUCAUGCCCCUUAUGUCUUGGGCUGCAAACAUGCUACAAUGGCCGGUACAGAGGGUUGCGAGACCGUGAGGUGGAGCGAAUCCCUAAAAGCCGGUCUCAGUUCGGAUCGAAGUCUGCAACUCGACUUCGUGAAGUCGGAGUCGCUAGUAAUCGCAGAUCAGCAAUGCUGCGGUGAAUACGUUCCCGGGCCUUGUACACACCGCCCGU
This 498-nucleotide ribosomal RNA is filed under the name uncultured bacterium. RNAcentral's name for it is "partial 16S ribosomal RNA". It matches the Rfam family "Bacterial small subunit ribosomal RNA", at positions 899 to 1397 of the family's 1533-position model. The record is from RNAcentral.